Long non-coding RNA from Cercocebus atys (sooty mangabey), 2144 nucleotides. RefSeq lists it as uncharacterized. NCBI's taxonomy places the organism in Eukaryota, Metazoa, Chordata, Mammalia, Primates, Cercopithecidae. The transcript has 2 exons. The record is from RefSeq and is a predicted model, not a curated record.
AAAAAAAAAAAAAAAAAAGAACCUUAAAUGUAAACCUGCACAGAUUAUCAUAACGAUCAUAAAAUUUAUUCCUGAACAUAACUAUAAAGUAUUAUCACUAAAGUUGACUUUAUCAAUAUGAAAUACUUAUUUCUCUACUUAACCCAGGGUAAAUCAUUUAAUUUAGCCAAAUAAGAAGAACAAAUUUACCUUCUUGGGAGGGCCAAAAUGCUGUUGGGACCACAGCACAGUUGGAGUGCAAAGACUGAGAUGUGUGCUGUGAGUGCUAAGUUCUUGCAGGAGAUUCUGUGCAUACGCAGGUGAGCAUGGUCGGCCUUCUUUUUCACUUUAGUUUUUGUACCAUGUCAGUGGGGCACACCAGGACUGUGCCUUUCAGCUUCGAAUUCAGUUCACAAAGCAGCGGACCAUGGCAUUUUAAAGUCUUCAUCCUUGGGUUUAUUAUUAUGGUUUUUUGUAACCUACUUUAACAUUUUGUAGUGAGAUUUGGAUAGAAAGAAUUCUGCACCUACAAUCAGGUUGAAGGCACUAUCUUCCCCUACUUGAUUUGGAUUGAAGUAUCUUUAUUACUGUUCAGUUGGUUCCCAUGUCUUUUCAUAUUUCAUGGAUUUUAGGCCACAAUUUAGUAGUCAUACUGAUAAAUUCAUAAUUCAGUAGGCUUUAUAUUGAUAAACUUAAUGGAACAAUCACCACUAUAGAUACGAUGGCCUCAUUACAGGGAAGGUAUGACUUCAUAAAAAGUUGAUCGGUCAGGAUGGGACUGUGUUAUGCUGCAGUAAUAAGCCUCAGAUCUCUGGUUUAACAUGACAAAGGCUCAUUUCCAUUCAUGCCAGGUGUCCACACAGGUCAGCUCUGCCCCAUGUCUGCUGCUCUCAGGGCAGAACAAGGGACCACAGAUCCCACUGAUAAGAGAAAGGAACUCAAGAUGGUCUUGUACCAUCAAUGUGCUGCUCAUCCCAGAAGUGAGACACCUGACCUAUAGUAAUUCACCACAUCAUAAAGGGGCCAGAGCCUUUGGGGGCCUGUGGACCAGGAGGGAGAGGAGAACCACCAGCUAUGCUAGGGAUUAUACAAUCUGCUUAUAUCUUAAAGCAUUUGAGGUCAAUCAGAAGUUAUUUUGAUUAACUUUUUCUAAUUCUCAUUAUAGAAUUUUAGUGGAAAACCAUAUAGUCAAUCCUACAGCAGUCACUGUUACCCUGUCACACACAUUCAGGUGGCUUCACCAUAUUAUUACAUGUAGCCCUGACAGUCAUUCUCUUACCCUCGUUUUUCAGUGCCCAAAAUCGUUUUUGGAAAAAAGUGCAGACCACAGAUCCUACCGUGGCUUGUGUUGUUCUCCCAGGCGCAUCCUCAACCUUGGCAAAAUAAAUCUCCACGCCAACUGAGACUGCCUCCAUCACUGGUUUCAUGGUACUCUCCAGGCGUUGUCCUGGGACAUCCUCCCAACCCUGUGAGGGAGGCAGCCAGGCCCCCAGUACAGACUUCACCCAACACCAACAGAGAGGUGACAGGGCCCUCUCAAGGCCACACAGCUGCCUGAACGUGAAUCUGCGUCCUGACUCCUGGUCGGUCUGAGUGACGACAGUGAUGCACUAGGACAAAUGUGUUACUUUUUAUCUGGGACUGGAUCAUAAAGGCACCAAAACAUUUGAUGACUCGUGUCCACAAGACACUCAGUGAAAACUGUUGAAAUGAAGGGAAAAAAAUGAGGGAAAGUAUCCUGAAGCCUGUGAGUGGGAUUCAGAAUCAACGUCAUCCCCAGCGAUAGGUGAGCAUCGUUUUGUAAGAGCUCCAAACGACAUGGCGAGCAGUUGAGCCGACUCUGAGGGUCACAGAGGUGAGCAGCCCAUCUUGUUUCUGGGAGGUUCGUCCAGGGAUGAAUGAGGCAAGCCCACAGGUCCCUACCUUGGGUGCCUCCCUGUUCUCCAAGGUUCACUCUGCUUCUCCUGAAGCCGCGGGGAUGAUGCUUGUGUGGAAAACUUGCUGCUAAAGGCAGCCUGAGACUCUGGACAGAGCAGAAGCAGAAGCAGAAGUCAUCAGCUCAAGCUCCCCCAGGGCCUCCUGCUGUCCUGACACAAGGGCCGGGAGGGCCUUUCCUGCGAGGCAGUUCUUUUUGUUUUUUUCUUUGUUUGUUGAGACAGGGUCUC